Molecule: unclassified non-coding RNA, 200 nt
Filed under: Ascomycota sp.
Lineage: Eukaryota; Fungi; Ascomycota
Description: partial contains small subunit ribosomal RNA, internal transcribed spacer 1, and 5.8S ribosomal RNA
Rfam family: Eukaryotic small subunit ribosomal RNA (bases 1-47)
Source: RNAcentral
AAAGUCGUAACAAGGUCUCCGUAGGUGAACCUGCGGAGGGAUCAUUACAGAGUUCGUGCCCGCAAGGGUAGAUCUCCCACCCGUGUCUUGUAACAUCGUUGCUUUGGGGGGCCCGCCCCCCAGAGACCAAACCCUGAAGCGAGUGUCGUCAGAGUACUAUACAAUAGUUAAAACUUUCAACAACGGAUCUCUUGGUUCUG